UUCGUCCUACGGGAGGCAGCAGUGGGGAAUAUUGGGCAAUGGGCGCAAGCCUGACCCAGCAACGCCGCGUGAAGGAAGAAGGCUUUCGGGUUGUAAACUUCUUUUAUGAGGGACGAAACAAAUGACGGUACCUCAUGAAUAAGCCACGGCUAACUACGUGCCAGCAGCCGCGGUAAUACGUAGGUGGCAAGCGUUAUCCGGAUUUACUGGGUGUAAAGGGCGUGUAGGCGGGACUGCAAGUCAGAUGUGAAAUCCUGCGGCUUAACCGCAGAACUGCAUUUGAAACUGUUGAUCUU
RNAcentral lists this ribosomal RNA (296 nucleotides) under uncultured bacterium. Its description in RNAcentral is "partial 16S ribosomal RNA". It matches the Rfam family "Bacterial small subunit ribosomal RNA", at positions 333 to 643 of the family's 1533-position model. The record is from RNAcentral.